CCAACAGGGAUUGCCUCAGUAACGGCGAGUGAAGCGGCAAGAGCUCAAAUUUGAAAUCUGGCUCCUUCGGGGCCCGAGUUGUAAUUUGUAGAGGGUGCUUUGGCGUUGGCUAUGGCGCAAGUUCCUUGGAACGGGACGUCAUAGAGGGUGAGAACCCCGUACAUGGCCGCUGGCCUUCGCCGUGUAAAGCCCCUUCGACGAGUCGAGUUGUUUGGGAAUGCAGCUCUAAAUGGGAGGUAAAUUUCUUCUAAAGCUAAAUACUGGCCAGAGACCGAUAGCGCACAAGUAGAGUGAUCGAAAGAUGAAAAGCACUUUGGAAAGAGAGUCAAAAAGCACGUGAAAUUGUUGAAAGGGAAGCGCUUGCAGCCAGACGUGCCCGUAGUUGCUCAUCCGAGCCUCCGCUCGGUGCACUCUUCUAUGGGCAGGCCAGCAUCAGUUCGGGCGGUCGGAUAAAGGCCUCGGGAAUGUAGCUCUCUCCGGGGAGUGUUAUAGCCCGUGGCGCCAUGCGACCAGCCUGGACUGAGGUCCGCGCAUCUGCUAGGAUGCUGGCGUAAUGGCUGUAAGCGGCCCGUCUUGAAACACGGACCAAGGAGUCUAACAUCUAUGCGAGUGUUUGGGUGUCAAGCCCGGGCGCGCAAUGAAAGUGAACGGAGGUGGGAACCCGCAAGGGCGCACCAUCGACCGAUCCUGAUGUCUUCGGAUGGAUUUGAGUAAGAGCAUAGCUGUUGGGACCCGAAAGAUGGUGAACUAUGCCUGAAUAGGGUGAAGCCAGAGGAAACUCUGGUGGAGGCUCGCAGCGGUUCUGACGUGCAAAUCGAUCGUCAAAUUUGGGCAUAGGGGCGAAAGACUAAUCGA
Molecule: ribosomal RNA, 855 nt
Filed under: Pleosporales sp. Dzf12
Lineage: Eukaryota; Fungi; Ascomycota; Dothideomycetes; Pleosporales
Description: eukaryotic LSU rRNA
Rfam family: Eukaryotic large subunit ribosomal RNA
Source: RNAcentral